This is a long non-coding RNA of Perca flavescens (yellow perch), 209 nucleotides long. RefSeq lists it as uncharacterized. The transcript has 3 exons. Lineage: Eukaryota; Metazoa; Chordata; Actinopteri; Perciformes; Percidae. The record is from RefSeq and is a predicted model, not a curated record.
GGACUUUCCCCUGAAUUGAGCAGACAGGACGGACUCCAGUUUUUCCUUCACUCAAAACAGCGCGCUGUCAAAAAUAAGGUCGCCAGAGCACAGACCCCGGGAGAAGAGGAGCCCCGGAGCAGUGUCAAGUCUUUACAGUGAUGUGACCAUGGAAAGUGAUGUCUGCAGGACCCUGUCUCUCCUGUAUCCCAGAGUGCGUGCAAUACAAC